GCUCCACUACCUACAUAACGUGGGUGAAAGGUCCUGUCAGGAAUCGUGUUAUGGUUCAAUGCGUUGCAGGAUACAAGUUUGAUGGCAAUCUUCCUUUGAUUUGCCAAGGUUAUGGUCAAUGGAGUUCUGGAGGGUGCUUGGUUGUGGAACGAUACUGUGGCGACCCGGGAACUCCAAGCAAUGGUUCUCGCACACUUAGCCAAAAACUCCAUGGUAGAGUCACGUACACGUGCAAUGUUGGUUACGGCUUGGAAGGGUCGAUGACUCGAGACUGCUUAUACAACAAAACCUGGUCUUUUCUUCAACCUGUCUGCCACCCUGCAUGUGUCCUACCAACCGUUCAAAAUAGCAAGAGUGUUGUGGCUUUAAACCCUACAUCUGAUGGAAAGACUGCAAAAUUUGUGUUGACCUGUAAAGC
Long non-coding RNA from Sycon ciliatum, 418 nucleotides. RefSeq lists it as uncharacterized. The record is from RefSeq and is a predicted model, not a curated record. The transcript has 3 exons. Lineage: Eukaryota; Metazoa; Porifera; Calcarea; Leucosolenida; Sycettidae.